GUCCUGUUGAAAUGACCUUGUCUCUUUGCGUGCAAUGUAAAGCAGUAUUUUGACUCGAGAACUACCUGUUACUUUAAGUUUGUUAUUGUGUGAUAAAAAAUAAUAGAUUAGAGGAUUAUAAAGUGUCUUAUAAAGCAAAAAUGAAAGAUAUAGAUUCAAGACUGAAGCUGUUUUCUUGGCAUGAUAUUGUUUUGUGCUCUUUCGUUGUUAUACAUGAACAUUUCGUGUAUAAUGAUUGCACAAUAAAGCCAUAUGUUGAACCUCAAGGAUGGUCAGACAUCUUCCUAUGCACCUCGAUUUAGACAAUUUAACAGAAAA
Long non-coding RNA from Ruditapes philippinarum (Manila clam), 318 nucleotides. RefSeq lists it as uncharacterized. The transcript is spliced from 3 exons. The record is from RefSeq and is a predicted model, not a curated record. Lineage: Eukaryota; Metazoa; Mollusca; Bivalvia; Venerida; Veneridae.